Molecule: long non-coding RNA, 1308 nt
Filed under: Nicotiana tabacum (common tobacco)
Lineage: Eukaryota; Viridiplantae; Streptophyta; Magnoliopsida; Solanales; Solanaceae
Description: long non-coding RNA (NTAB_LNC006565)
Source: RNAcentral
CUCGGUCAAACUAGUUGGGGUGGGAUGCAUAGCUAAUUAAACUAGUUGGGGUGGGAUGCAUAAAUCUCAUAAAAAAAUAAUCUUUCAGCUUCCAUAUUGUCAAUAGCAGGGUACAUAGCUAUUAAAGUAUUACCCACAAAAAUAACAAUCAAGAACCCAAAUUUCAAGAUUUUCCCAUGUGCCAACUCCCCAAGAUAACAACUUUUCAUUCCGACACAAGCUUUUAAGACACUAGUCAUGCAUACCCGUGCUAAAGCACGGGCCCAACAACACCAAAUUUGGUAUCUCUAUUAUAUUAGAAAUUCUAGCAUUUUUCUUGUACAUAUAUACAUAUACAUAAUAUGAAGGUAGAUUGAAGAAUACUAAGAUUAAAAGUUAGUACUUAUAUAUAUGACUAUACAAAGUUCCCGACUGUUUCAAUUCAAAUAGUUGACCUGAGCUGCUUUUAGUGCGAACAAUUUUCUUUUCGUCCUUAGUUACGUAUAAUAUUAGCAUAAAUGAAGCCAGUUCAAGUCACCCAGAUCAACCCAAAAAACAUUUGAAUAUCCUUUUUUUAUUAAAAGUGAUUGUUGGAGUAGUAACGUAGUUCAAGCUUCUCUUUGAAGUUUCUUUUUACCAUGUUGCUCUCGACUGCUUCAUGUAAUUACACACUGCAACCAAGAAGAGGAAAAAGAGCAAAGAGAUUUAUCAUGUAUUUAUUUUUUUAGAAUAUGUAUUUGAAAAGCUUUGAAGGGUGCGUGUAAGGUUGGUCCUACUUGAGAGCUAUACAUAGAAAACUAAGAGGAGCCUCCGAGAUCUUCAGAUUCAUGCUUGCAUAUACUUGUUCCCUAUAUAUUUCCAUAUAUUGAUUUGCUCCCAAAAAGUUUUGCAAUCCAACAACCCUACUAGCAAAUUAUUGAUCCAAAAUGCAAUAAAAACUAUAAAGAUCCUAAGCCUUCAUUCCAAUAAGAAUAUGUGGAAGCUCUCUAAAAGAAGUGCUGAUACAAAAGCACUUUAAAACAAAUUAAAAGAAUUAGAAAAGGACGAACCAGCUGAAAUUGCCUUUUCAAUUAGUAGAUGGCCCAUUGUAAUAUAGCAGUCUCAACUAACAGAGAAAUCAAUUCGUACUCCACCAUUUAGUGCAAUCCAUCACCGAGAAAUACAAAUUGAAGAGUUUAGACAUUUUUUCCAUCUAUCGGCAUUGAUACACCUUAUUUUUCAAAUUUCCUUUGUGUGCCUAGCUAACUGAUGUUAAGAUCCAAUUGAAAAGAAAAAAAAAACUAAAGAGAAAAAGAAAGAACAAUAGCAGUGAGAACCGAUGGAUAAGUC